CAAUAGCGUAUAUUUAAGUUGUUGCAGUUAAAAAGCUCGUAGUUGGAUUUCGGAUGGGAUUUGCCGGUCCGUCGUUACGAUGUGCACUGGCCAGUCCUAUCUUGUUGUCGGGGACUAGCUCCUUGGAUUCACUUCCUGGGACUAGGAGCUGACGAGGUUACUUUGAGUAAAUUAGAGUGUUCAAAGCAAGCCUACGCUCUGAAUACAUUAGCAUGGAAUAACACGAUAGGACUCUGGCUUAUCUUGUUGGUCUGUGAGACCAGAGUAAUGAUUAAGAGGGACAGUCGGGGACAUUCGUAUUUCAUUGUCAGAGGUGAAAUUCUUGGGUUUAUGAAAGACGAACUUCUGCGAAAGCAUUUGUCAAGGAUGUUUUCAUUAA
This 379-nucleotide ribosomal RNA is filed under the name uncultured eukaryote. Its description in RNAcentral is "partial 18S ribosomal RNA". It matches the Rfam family "Eukaryotic small subunit ribosomal RNA", at positions 592 to 976 of the family's 1831-position model. The record is from RNAcentral.